RNAcentral lists this ribosomal RNA (753 nucleotides) under Lactococcus lactis. RNAcentral's name for it is "bacterial SSU rRNA". It matches the Rfam family "Bacterial small subunit ribosomal RNA", at positions 20 to 754 of the family's 1533-position model. The record is from RNAcentral. Lineage: Bacteria; Bacillati; Bacillota; Bacilli; Lactobacillales; Streptococcaceae.
CUGCUCAGGAUGAACGCUGGCGGCGUGCCUAAUACAUGCAAGUCGAACGCACAGCGAAAGGUGCUUGCACCUUUCAAGUGAGUGGCGAACGGGUGAGUAACACGUGGACAACCUGCCUCAAGGCUGGGGAUAACAUUUGGAAACAGAUGCUAAUACCGAAUAAAACUUAGUGUCGCAUGACAUAAAGUUAAAAGGCGCUUCGGCGUCACCUAGAGAUGGAUCCGCGGUGCAUUAGUUAGUUGGUGGGGUAAAGGCCUACCAAGACAAUGAUGCAUAGCCGAGUUGAGAGACUGAUCGGCCACAUUGGGACUGAGACACGGCCCAAACUCCUACGGGAGGCUGCAGUAGGGAAUCUUCCACAAUGGGCGAAAGCCUGAUGGAGCAACGCCGCGUGUGUGAUGAAGGCUUUCGGGUCGUAAAGCACUGUUGUAUGGGAAGAACAGCUAGAAUAGGAAAUGAUUUUAGUUUGACGGUACCAUACCAGAAAGGGACGGCUAAAUACGUGCCAGCAGCCGCGGUAAUACGUAUGUCCCGAGCGUUAUCCGGAUUUAUUGGGCGUAAAGCGAGCGCAGACGGUUUAUUAAGUCUGAUGUGAAAGCCCGGAGCUCAACUCCGGAAUGGCAUUGGAAACUGGUUAACUUGAGUGCAGUAGAGGUAAGUGGAACUCCCAUGUGUAGCGGUGGAAUGCGUAGAUAUAUGGAAGAACACCAGUGGCGAAGGCGGCUUAUCUGGACUGCAACUGACGUGAGGCUC